Molecule: ribosomal RNA, 579 nt
Filed under: uncultured bacterium
Lineage: Bacteria
Description: partial 16S ribosomal RNA
Rfam family: Bacterial small subunit ribosomal RNA
Source: RNAcentral
UGGGGAAUUUUGGACAAUGGGCGAAAGCCUGAUCCAGCAAUGCCGCGUGUGUGAAGAAGGCCUUCGGGUUGUAAAGCACUUUUGUCCGGAAAGAAAUCCUUGGCUCUAAUACAGUCGGGGGAUGACGGUACCGGAAGAAUAAGCACCGGCUAACUACGUGCCAGCAGCCGCGGUAAUACGUAGGGUGCAAGCGUUAAUCGGAAUUACUGGGCGUAAAGCGUGCGCAGGCGGUUUGCUAAGACCGAUGUGAAAUCCCCGGGCUCAACCUGGGAACUGCAUUGGUGACUGGCAGGCUAGAGUAUGGCAGAGGGGGGUAGAAUUCCACGUGUAGCAGUGAAAUGCGUAGAGAUGUGGAGGAAUACCGAUGGCGAAGGCAGCCCCCUGGGCCAAUACUGACGCUCAUGCACGAAAGCGUGGGGAGCAAACAGGAUUAGAUACCCUGGUAGUCCACGCCCUAAAACGAUGUCAACUAGUUGUUGGGGAUUCAUUUCCUUAGUAACGUAGCUAACGCGUGAAGUUGACCGCCUGGGGAGUACGGUCGCAAGAUUAAAACUCAAAUGAAUUGACGGGGUCAUAGCU